RNAcentral lists this ribosomal RNA (870 nucleotides) under Aspergillus sydowii. RNAcentral describes it as "partial 28S ribosomal RNA". It matches the Rfam family "Eukaryotic large subunit ribosomal RNA", at positions 51 to 938 of the family's 3401-position model. The record is from RNAcentral. Lineage: Eukaryota; Fungi; Ascomycota; Eurotiomycetes; Eurotiales; Aspergillaceae.
CGGAGGAAAAGAAACCAACCGGGAUUGCCUCAGUAACGGCGAGUGAAGCGGCAAGAGCUCAAAUUUGAAAUCUGGCCCCUCCGGGGUCCGAGUUGUAAUUUGCAGAGGAUGCUUCGGGUGCGGCCCCUGUCUAAGUGCCCUGGAACGGGCCGUCAGAGAGGGUGAGAAUCCCGUCUUGGGCAGGGUGCCCGUGCCCGUGUGAAGCUCCUUCGACGAGUCGAGUUGUUUGGGAAUGCAGCUCAAAAUGGGUGGUAAAUUUCAUCUAAAGCUAAAUACCGGCCGGAGACCGAUAGCGCACAAGUAGAGUGAUCGAAAGAUGAAAAGCACUUUGAAAAGAGAGUUAAACAGCACGUGAAAUUGUUGAAAGGGAAGCGCUUGCAACCAGACUCGGCCUCGGGGUUCAGCCAGCAUUCGUGCUGGUGUACUUCCCCGGGGCCGGGCCAGCGUCGGUUUGGGCGGCCGGUCAAAGGCCCCAGGAAUGUAUCGUCCUCCGGGACGUCUUAUAGCCUGGGGUGCAAUGCGGCCAGCCUGGACCGAGGAACGCGCUUCGGCACGGACGCUGGCGUAAUGGUCGCAAACGACCCGUCUUGAAACACGGACCAAGGAGUCUAACAUCUACGCGAGUGUUCGGGUGUCAAACCCGUACGCGCAGUGAAAGCGAACGGAGGUGGGAGCCCCCCCGGGGCGCACCAUCGACCGAUCCUGAUGUCUUCGGAUGGAUUUGAGUACGAGCGUAGCUGUGGGGACCCGAAAGAUGGUGAACUAUGCCUGAAUAGGGUGAAGCCAGAGGAAACUCUGGUGGAGGCUCGCAGCGGUUCUGACGUGCAAAUCGAUCGUCAAAUUUGGGUAUAGGGGCGAAAGACUAAUCGA